This is a long non-coding RNA of Cannabis sativa, 1377 nucleotides long. RefSeq lists it as uncharacterized. The record is from RefSeq and is a predicted model, not a curated record. The transcript is spliced from 2 exons. Lineage: Eukaryota; Viridiplantae; Streptophyta; Magnoliopsida; Rosales; Cannabaceae.
UACAAAAAUACUGCCAGACGGUAUUUUUUACUUUUUUACUGUGUUUUUUUAUAAGUUUCAUACUGCAGUAUACUGUGUUAAGUUUUCACUGUUGUUCUACUGGUGUUUUUUAGUUGUUCUACUGUUGUUUUGAGUUGUUCUGUUUUGUGUUCUACUGGUGUUUUAUAAAAGUACAGUAUUUUUGAAAAGAUUUCCGUGUGACAGUAUUUUUGUAAAAAUUAACCCAAAUUCCAGUAUUUUUGUAAGUUUUCCUAAAAAAAAUCAAUCUAAAAAUUCUUUAAAAUAUUUAAAAUUCCGUUUUUUUUUUUAUUUUUUUGAAACAAUCCCAAAAAGGAUAGCUCAAGUGUUGGAUUCAUGCUCUCCAUAUGUAAGGCCCAAGCCCAUAUGGCAAUGUUUGCAUUCCGUUUUACAUUUAGAAGUCAUCCAACGGUGAAUGCAAGCCAAAGUGCAGAGGAGCGGUAGAGAUGAACCACUAGCGAAAUCGUUUCAGAAAAGGCAGAAGGGCAUCGAAACGUCAUCGUAGAGGUCAAAUUAUCAGGAUGGUAAACAAACCCUAAUUUGGAGUACGAGGACAAGCAAAGCAAAGCAAAGCAACCAUUUCAUUAUUACAUAUACAAAUUAGGGUAUAGAUCUCUCUCUCUUUCACUCUUUCUCUUCUGGGUUCUAUUGAUUGAUUUAUAUAUCACAGAACAAUGGAGAUGGAUAUGAUGGUAAAUAAUAGUAAAAGGUUUGAGCAGGAAGAUAAUGUCGGGGAAAAUGGGUGUGGGAAAAUCAAGGAAGAGGGCCCCAAGUCCUUGACAAAGAAUAGCCAUUUGUGACUUUCGCAACCUCUUCCACAACAAAAUUAGCUAUUAAUUUAGGCUAUAUGGGUUGAUUAAAAAGGCGUGGGUCGCAUUCUAAUAUUGAAUGCCGAUCUAGAAUUCUCCCAACAUUACUUCUACACCCAUUUCCCCCCACUUUUCUCCUGCAUUGAUCAAAACCUCUUUUACUGAUCCUCCUUCAAUGUGAUACAUCAAGUGAAUUCCUGCAGCCUCAUGUUAUUUUCAGGCAUCGCUUGACUUGUUCAUUGAAGGUUCAUUCUUCAAGUGAUUGGGAUUUGGGGACUGCUGUUUCCCACUUCUUAUCAGUUGUUGGAGGAGAUCUAUGAUGUUCUAGUAGUGUAUAUAAAUGAUCUCUUGUGCUAUUUUUUUCUCUUUGAAAUGUUAAUAUUUCUAAACUAUAAUUUGAGAGUCAUAGAAGGGUGUUCGAUUUUGUUUUCUAAGCAUUUUCUCUAUGUAAUAUUUGAUGGACAAGAGGAACUAAUGACCACUUUUUGUACAAGAAGAAAGAGACGUAGUGAAAUAUAAUGCACUUGUUUACUUUGGAUAUUUGCUUAAA